Long non-coding RNA from Scophthalmus maximus (turbot), 469 nucleotides. RefSeq lists it as uncharacterized. The record is from RefSeq and is a predicted model, not a curated record. NCBI's taxonomy places the organism in Eukaryota, Metazoa, Chordata, Actinopteri, Pleuronectiformes, Scophthalmidae. The transcript has 3 exons.
GAUGGGAAACAGAGUGAUUGCCAUGGCGAUCAUAACACUGUUUGAUCCAAAAGGUACUGUACAGUUGUGAAAGCAGGAAAGACGGUGUGUGAGCUGCCGUUUAGCAGGUCAUGGAAAAACUCAUCAUCCAACCUCCUAAAAAUAAUGAAGUGCUGAAUCCAUACCUGCUCUGAGGAUAAGUAGCCACUACUUUAAGAAGACAACUACUAAAAAUGGGACCGGGAGCCGGCCGUGGGUGAAGGAGAGGUAACUGCACUCGUUACUUCAGUCAGGGUGCCAAUGUUUAGCGAGGCUCCAGCCAACGCAGACCGAGCCAGAUCUAAGGGGGAGCGGCGGGGGCAAGCAACAUGAACCGAUGCAACCUUCAGCCAAAGGUCCGGUCUCACACUGUUUUCCAACUCUGCCAUUUAUAGACGCGAUUCAAGCCUGUUUGUUAAUGUACACAGUUCACAGGCUCUAUGAUGGACAA